UACGAAGGGGGCGAGCGUUGUUCGGAUUUAUUGGGCGUAAAGAGCGUGUAGGCGGUCUGGUAGGUCCGUUGUGAAAACUCGAGGCUCAACCUCGAGACGCCGAUGGAAACCAUCAGACUAGAGUCCGGAAGAGGAGAGUGGAAUUCCUGGUGUAGCGGUGAAAUGCGCAGAUAUCAGGAAGAACACCCGUGGCUAAGGCGGCUCUCUAGUACGGUACUGACGCUGAGACGCGAAAGCGUGGGGAGCGAACAGG
RNAcentral lists this ribosomal RNA (253 nucleotides) under uncultured bacterium. Its description in RNAcentral is "partial 16S ribosomal RNA". It matches the Rfam family "Bacterial small subunit ribosomal RNA", at positions 524 to 776 of the family's 1533-position model. The record is from RNAcentral.